GUUUACUUCCUCGUUUAAACUUAAUGAAAAUAGUCGUUGUCAACAUCAAAAAUUAUUUAUUGUCAGUUAAAAAUUCAUAUUUAGAAGCUUUUUUGGUUCAUUGGUUGACCGAAGGUUCAUUAAUGCUUUUGUACACUAAAAAAGUCUGGGGUUCGAGUCCCAGAUACUGUGAUUUAUUAGCAGAUUUGCAGAUUGGUAGAGACAAGUGUGCAGGAGAUCUUCAACAAUGUGCAAUUAUAUCCAUUCGGCUAUGUAACAAUUCUCAUAAUUUGCAAUAAAUAAUAAAUUUAAGACGGUAAAAAAAAUUAUAUUUU
This 314-nucleotide small RNA is filed under the name Arabidopsis thaliana (thale cress). RNAcentral describes it as "ATSL078220". The record is from RNAcentral. Lineage: Eukaryota; Viridiplantae; Streptophyta; Magnoliopsida; Brassicales; Brassicaceae.